This 250-nucleotide unclassified non-coding RNA is filed under the name plant metagenome. RNAcentral's name for it is "partial contains small subunit ribosomal RNA, internal transcribed spacer 1, and 5.8S ribosomal RNA". The record is from RNAcentral.
GUAGGUGAACCUGCGGAAGGAUCAUUACCGAGAUCAGGAGGUGUCUUCUUUGAAGCUCCUUCUCCUCCCAUCCUUGUUUAUCUAUAAGCUGUAAAGCAGCUUCGGUGGGCCAUCUCUGUAACUAGAGAUGUCGGCUACCCUGCUGGCUUGUGCCUGCCGAAGUAACCAAUUCUGACAAUUUGUAAAGUCUGAGAAAAAUGAUUAAAUAAUCAAAACUUUCAACAACGGAUCUCUUGGUUCUGGCAUCGAU